Molecule: long non-coding RNA, 1242 nt
Organism: Pezoporus flaviventris
Lineage: Eukaryota; Metazoa; Chordata; Aves; Psittaciformes; Psittacidae
Exons: 3
Source: RefSeq, a predicted model, not a curated record
AUGCACCCCUUGAACCCACAGGCCAGCAGUGGCAGAGCACUCCUGCAGUGGACAGGAUCAGACCCCACCACAUCCCUCCAUGACCCAUUUAGGGAGGAGCACAUGGAAACCCUCACAUUACCAUCAUGUCCAAAGCGCUCCUAGGGAGCCAACAGGGAUUUUUCCCGUUAUCCCCCAUAUAUUCUCCAGCAGGAAAUCUUGUAGCAAAAUUAAAGCUCCCUUGCAACAUUUCCAGAGUUUUCCCACUUGGGCCCAGGCAGAAACAGUGCAGGAACAACCUUGCUCAGGGAAAGAUGAGUGUUGUCUCGUGGUUGGAGCACAGGGUUCGUGGUCAGGAGCUGUGGGUUCUCAUUCCAGCUUUGCCACUGAAUCAUUCUGAGAGCUUCGCUGGCCACUUUGUGUUAGAAGCAGUUAGUAAUUUUCCGUAGGGAUGAUUUUCUGAUGGAAAACACUUCUACAAAACCAAAAUCUGGGUGAAAAUCAACUUUCCAUUGGGAAUACCUUGCAUCUAGGCAGGGUGGGAAAGGACAUUAGACCCAAACUGAAUCAUUUGGUGUUUUCUCACAUUAAUCCGCAUGUUUUGCACUGAACAGAUAGAUCUUCUUAAGAAAUACCACCCUCCUGACUGGAAUUCCAAGUCAGCUCCAUGCACAGUGGGAGUGUGUGCUCUCAUGCUCUGCUCUGCUCCCCGGGAGGUCUGCACCUCCUCUUGUGGGAUGCCGAUUUCUCUCUUGUGAGACGUGCACAUCCCAGUCUGAGUCAGACCAGUCCAGGCAUGCGGGCACCUGGCCCAUGGGAACAAAUUGUAGUGUAAGGCUACCACCCUGACCAAGGAAGUACACCACAGAGAUUUUUCCACUUACAUGUGGCAUUUUCAAGAAUUUCUAUGCAGAAAACUUCAUCCAAACCAAAUCCAUGCACCAAAACAAUAGAAGCAGAACUUUGCACAGAGCCCCCGACCACAGAGGCUUACUGACUGCAGCUCCUACCAGCUCAGCUUUCAGAAUCCAUCCCAGCCAUUUGCAGCUUGUGCAGCAUGCAGAAACCCACACUGGUCCUCUGGGUUGAGCAGCAGUGUUCUGAUUACCCACUCAAUGUCCUUUACAUUGGGUAACAGGAAACCAGGGGAUGAAACAAGCUAUUACUUUCAGUGUCUAAGGUCCUGAAUCUGUAAGCUGUAGUUCUAGGGGGGUAUCUGCUCUUUGACAACACUUCCUAUAUUACGUUUCAGCCAGGAAGAUG